This 504-nucleotide ribosomal RNA is filed under the name uncultured bacterium. Its description in RNAcentral is "bacterial SSU rRNA". It matches the Rfam family "Bacterial small subunit ribosomal RNA", at positions 28 to 518 of the family's 1533-position model. The record is from RNAcentral.
GAUGAACGCUAGCUACAGGCUUAACACAUGCAAGUCGAGGGGAAACGAUAUUGGAAGCUUGCUUCCGAUAGGCGUCGACCGGCGCACGGGUGAGUAACGCGUAUCCAACCUGCCCAUCACUUGGGGAUAACCUUGCGAAAGUAAGACUAAUACCCAAUGACGUCUCUAGAAGACAUCUGAAAGAGAUUAAAGAUUUAUCGGUGAUGGAUGGGGAUGCGUCUGAUUAGCUUGUUGGCGGGGUAACGGCCCACCAAGGCGACGAUCAGUAGGGGUUCUGAGAGGAAGGUCCCCCACAUUGGAACUGAGACACGGUCCAAACUCCUACGGGAGGCAGCAGUGAGGAAUAUUGGUCAAUGGACGAGAGUCUGAACCAGCCAAGUAGCGUGCAGGAAGACGGCCCUAUGGGUUGUAAACUGCUUUUAUAAGGGAAUAAAGUGAGUCUCGUGAGACUUUUUGCAUGUACCUUAUGAAUAAGGACCGGCUAAUUCCGUGCCAGCAGCCGAC